This 721-nucleotide long non-coding RNA is filed under the name Medicago truncatula (barrel medic). RNAcentral's name for it is "lncRNA gene28687". The record is from RNAcentral. Lineage: Eukaryota; Viridiplantae; Streptophyta; Magnoliopsida; Fabales; Fabaceae.
UUUUAAAAAUAGUUACCCAAACACCAAUUUUUUUAACAAACUCACUUCUAAGAUUUCUAAACUCACGUUUACGGCUCCCCACCACGUAACCAAACGAGUGCUUAGCUUUUUCAAAUCGAUUCUCUACUGUGGAAAUACACUAGCAUCUAUUUGUCUCUUUUGCCCUUGAAUCUCAACACUUCCUUUCACAUACCUUUUCAAAUCUGACAAAGCCCUUCACGGUGUCUGCAUGCUUUGUCAUGUUGUUGUAAAAAAAUAUGUUUGUACUGUUGCUGUGGUUUUUUCUUCUUCUGUGUGUUGCAAAUAAAUCUCAAGGUUGAAGAUGACACGUUUUUUGAGAAGAAAUGGUCUUUUGUCUUCUUGCUCUUUAAAAGCCCAUCAGUAUCAGGUAUCCAUUUAUUUUAUAGAAAAAAAAAUUCAUAUAUAACUACGAAUUUUACUAGUUACCAAUUACAUUUUUAAUUCCCUAAAAAAAAUACAUUUUUAAUAAUUUUAUAAAAUGCAACAUAAAAAUAACUAAAAAUGGAAAUGAAAGUUGUAGACAAAAAUAAACGAAAUAUAGUGUUGAAUGCACACAUAUAUGAAAAUCCAUUUUGGUCAUUUACACACCCAAAAGUAAUUUUGACACCAAAUAUCCAAACAAAAUCUUUCAUACAAAUAACUUCAAUUGUGAAGGUAACCAAACAUAAACCACUUUACAUUAAACUCACUUUUAACUAUA